Oreochromis niloticus (Nile tilapia) is the source of this 3659-nucleotide long non-coding RNA. RefSeq lists it as uncharacterized. The record is from RefSeq and is a predicted model, not a curated record. The transcript is spliced from 3 exons. Lineage: Eukaryota; Metazoa; Chordata; Actinopteri; Cichliformes; Cichlidae.
GCAGGGUGUCAUAAAAUGCGAUUGUAAGGAUGGUUUGUUAAUGAGUGUCCCGAAAACCUUGAGUUGAAGUCAAGGUUGACUGAAGUCACGCACUGGAGGCAUUAAAACAUCAUGGCAAGUGUCAAGGACCAGACUGACGCUGUUCUUUGAAGCAGGCAGUGCUGACUGAUUGGGGCGAAGUCACAAGGAGACAUAACCUAUUGCUACGUUGCACAUAACAUAGCGCACAGAGACACCAGAUACCCGCCCCAAAUUCCAGUUCAGAGAGGCAGUAUUUCCAGUGGUGGCAUGUGGAGCUUUAAAAAGGAAAUGACUGAGGACAUCGGGGGGAAAAAAUGCACAACCUUUUCAGAUAACAGACAGUGAAGAAUAAAGACAUUUCCAUAGCAUCUAUUCACCGUUUGUAAGACAGAUAAAUGGGUGUUUUUUUUAAGAAAAAAAAACGAAACAAAAAACCCUAUUGUGACAUUAUAAGGUUUUGUGGUUUUUAUUUAGUUUUCGGUGACAUCCUGCUCCUUGCUUGUGUGGAGAGAUACAUACUUUGUGCUCUUGUGCGGAGCUAAGAUAGCUCCUGUAUUUGUCCGUACAUGAUUUUUGUUUUGUGUUCUUUUCAAGCUGUGAAACACAACACACGCAUUGUGCAAUUUUUCUUCCAUCAGAUAAGUUAAAGGAUUUUAGGCUCACAGAAAUCCUUUUGAAAGGAGCAUGAUUAUCUCAAACAUGUCUCUCAUAAACUGGAAACUGAAACUGGAGUGAUUUUCCUGUGAUUCAGAUUUGGUCAUCUUAUCAACCUCUUAAAAAAAGCAGCAGUUUCACUGAAACUGUAACCUACAUGUUUAAAUAAACUACUGGUUCCAUUUAUAGCCAGUUAUUUUGACUAUAAUAAUGCAGUAAAUGAAUACAAAUUUUGUAAAUGUAUGCACCUUAAUAUUUCCAUUUUAUGCUACUUUGUAUUUCUACUUCACUGCACUUAAAUUAUUUUACACUUUGUACAGUAUUUACUUUACAGCAACAGUAAUUAAUUACAUUUCAAGUUGAGAUUUAAAUACUUGGGUGCUAGUGCAGAUCAGUGAAGUCCAGAGGGUGACCCGUGUGCUGAAAGGCUACGGCAGGGGUCUGGGUUCAGUUCCGCCCCAGGCCAUUUCCUGCAUGUCAUUUCCAGUGUUCUUUGCUCCUCUCUUCCUGUCUACUUUACUGUCCUGUCAUAAAAUGAAUUAAGACCAAAAAAUACAACAAACACACAGGAAAUAAUAAUGAUGAGUUGUUUUAAAUUAAACUACCCAGUGGAAUAAAUACAGCUUGCAAAUAAAGUAAACAAAACAGUAAUUUAAUCAUAUAAAACUGACAAUGGUUUUAUUAUGUAAGUUCAUAUUGUUGGCCAUUAUAUUUACAGUUAUGUAAAAGAAAAAGUGAUUUUUCACGGGACUCACCCAAGAUUAGCUUGUAGGACCACAUACUGAAGCAAUCACUUUCACUUUGAUUUUAUCAGUCUCUCUUAUUUUAGUUUGUGAGCGUUUAUUUAUGCACAGCUCUCUGAAGGCUGAUGUCCGGACCUUCACUGGGCCAUCACAGCACCCUGAUUAUUUUCUUUUUCAGGCAUUUAGCUGUACAUUUGCUGCUGGGUUGAGAUUAUUGUCACAUUGCAUGAUCCACUUUUGGCCAAGCUUGAGCUGACAGACAAAGGGCUUCAUAUUUGAAGCUAGAAUACUUUUCUAUACAUAGGAGUUCACGGUCAACUGAAUGACUGUAAUGUGCCCAGGUCCUGUGACUGCAAAACAAGCCCAAAUCCUUAUCCGUUCACCACCGUGUGCUUAUAUGCUUUGCUGGGUUUUUUCCUACUUGGAAAUGUGCAUUAUAGCCAGAAGUCUUGCAGUUUGUUCAAAUGCAACUUUGAAACGCUUUUAGACACAGAGAAGAGGCUUUGUCUUGGCAACAUUUCCCAACAAGCCAUAUCUGUUCAGUCUUUUUCUAAAUCUAGUGUCACGAAAGAAGCAUUUAGCAUAUUAACAAGAAGUGGGUCUUGGUUGUUUUGCAAUUACUCUUAGCAUUGCUUGUGAGUGAGUGAGUUUGCUGGGAUGUGCUUAGUUUUUCACACGACGGCAUAGAGUCCUGCUACUUUAUUUAAGUAAAUAAUUAGAGUGCUACCUUCACUGUUAGGUGAUAAACAUAAAAAUGCAUACACAAACGUGUGAAUCCAUCAUUUCGUAACAAGGGUUUUGGGGGCUCUCACUGAGAGUGUGGUAGAAAACAGUAGGUGCAUUUCAUGUUAGUGCCACACAAAAACACCCCAGUACUUUCAGUGGUGUUCCACCUCUCUGUUUGCUGAUACGACAAAAAGUGUAAGGAAAGCGGGGGUAUGGGGGAGCCAGGUUUGAAUGACAUGGUGUUGCUGCCACGACCGUUGUUCACUGACCCACAAAAUGCAGGCCCAGCCCCCAGUGUGAAGUACUUUUGUGUUGUCAUCACCCUCAGAAGCCCGGGACCUGUGAUGGGAGGGUGUUUGAGCACCCGGAGGGUUGAGCGAUCUGAGGCGGCAGUCCACUCUCCAGAAGGACACAUGCUCUGUUAGGUGGCUAAAAAGAAGCCUGUAUUGUAAUGAAAGCAUUUGCAUACUUUUGUAUUAGAAAGGGUAUUAACCUCUGACACCUUUGAGAACUGGUUGACAAGAGGCCACUUCUCACAGUCUAAGCGUUAACACACUUGAAAAUAACACCUAAGUGUACCUCAGUGUGUAUCAAAAUCAAUAAAGAGAGGAGGAAAAGGUCUGCUUAAGUUUUUGAGAUUGAAGUUUGCUUCAAGUGGCGGUUCACCCUCAACAUAGAGUGUUGGAGGAUUUGAAAAUGAGGGAUCUUGUGGAUCUUAAAGCAUGAUGUUGGCUCUUUGAGUCUGAUAACCAGACCAAAUGUUGUUGUUUUUUCCUUAAAUAGAGCUGUCAAACUAAAGUUCUCUUGCGUUGAGUGACUGACAUGAAGAAAGUGUUUGGGGAGUCAUUAACAAGUUGCAGAUGGAGAGAAACCAAACGGUGUGACAUUAAGAAUACAUUUUUAAAAAGUUCACUGUUAGUUGAUUUUAUACAGAAGUGGUAUGUUUUCUUCUUUUUCUAAUGGAAAAAGUAGCCUAAAAGAAUUACUCUUAUCGGCCCAAAAUACAAUUUCAUUUAUAAGCAAUUGAAGGAGGGUGGUUUGAAGGUCAGAGAGUCGUAACUCAACCUGCACUUAACUUGUUAAUCUAUUUCUUUCAGUGGUAUCUUUCAUUUUGUCUGUUGUAUGAUUAAUGGCCGUGUACGGUAGCGUUGGACAAGACAUUGUCCGACUCUUCAGUUGAAUUUUUUUUAAAGGGGUCUUUGUGAGGACCGUUGGCUGUGUAUGGCUCUGAGCCUGAGGGGCUCUUCUCUCCAAGUACACGCUGCUUCACAGAGAAGACUUGACUCUGAAAUUCCUCCAGAUAAGAGUUGCUAGGUGAUGUUAUUGUUAGAUCUUCUUUGUGGUCGCAUAUUCAUAUCCAAAUUGUAAGGUUCUUUAUGAGGACUGUCUCAUUAGUAGUCAUAUAUUCAUACCAGACCACCCCCCUACUUGACCCCUCCUUUACAAGUCGUGGGAAAGACAAGCCCUGGAUGGGAUGUGGAGAAGGACUCAGGCAAUUACUUGGAAGAUGGUCAA